AUUGAACGCUGGCGGCAUGCCUUACACACGCAAGUCGAACGGCAGCACGGGAGCAAUCCUGGUGGCGAGUGGCGAACGGGUGAGUAAUAUAUCGGAACGUGCCCAGUCGUGGGGAUAACGUAGCGAAAGCUACGCUAAUACCGCAUACGAUCUAUGGAUGAAAGCGGGGGAUCGCAAGACCUCGCGCGAUUGGAGCGGCCGAUAUCAGAUUAGGUAGUUGGUGAGGUAAAGGCUCACCAAGCCGACGAUCUGUAGCUGGUCUGAGAGGACGACCAGCCACACUGGGACUGAGACACGGCCCAGACUCCUACGGGAGGCAGCAGUGGGGAAUUUUGGACAAUGGGCGGCAAGCCUGAUCCAGCAAUGCCGCGUGCAGGAUGAAGGCC
This 386-nucleotide ribosomal RNA is filed under the name uncultured bacterium. RNAcentral describes it as "bacterial SSU rRNA". It matches the Rfam family "Bacterial small subunit ribosomal RNA", at positions 29 to 416 of the family's 1533-position model. The record is from RNAcentral.